This 824-nucleotide long non-coding RNA is filed under the name Equus caballus (horse). Its description in RNAcentral is "lncRNA (ENSECAG00000054340.1)". Lineage: Eukaryota; Metazoa; Chordata; Mammalia; Perissodactyla; Equidae. The record is from RNAcentral.
AGGGGACUUAGGAAGAUGAGAGGUGCGGGCUUGACGCCCAUGAGAAGCCCCAAAGCUGAGCCUCAGUUUCUGCCACGUGUCCAGAGCGUAGAAAAUGAUCCACAGUGGUGUAGGGAAGCCGAAUGCCUAGUGGGGAUAGGCUGAAAAAUUGUGGGGAAAAUCCCAGUCUGAGCUUCUAUGGACAGAAAAGGGCAGAAAGAGGGAGGGAGUUGGAGAGGACGGUGAACAAUAAUGACCCCGUUUCCUGAGUGCUCAUCCUGUGCCACGCAUGGAGCCGCGGCUUGACAAGCAUCUUUACUGCAACCCUAUUCCGCCAGUGAGCCUGAGACCCAGGGAGCUUAGAAACCCGGCCAGAAUCUGGCAGAGGGGGGGCCCUAACCCGCCGUCUGAGCCCACGGUGGCACCCUUAAUCACCAAGCUCCACAGUGUGGAGGACGAGAGAGUGGAACUACCGGAGAAGACACGGGGAUGCGGCUCGGAGAGAGAGGAUGGACUGAAGCGAUUUGAAAGGCAGGCCCGGAGAUGGGGACCAAAGGGCAGUUCUGCUGAUUGCCUGGCUAUUCUCGAUGUGUCCACUUCCUCCUCUUUUUUUAAGAUUCUCAGGAGCAUCUGACCAAACUGUCCAUGCAUCCUCCUUCCACUAGAACACCUUCCUGCAAGCUCGCUCCUGGAGGUUCACCCUUUACCAGACGUGGAUGAUUCUCAGAUGGGUUCAAGCUGGGACCACAUGCUCACGCACAUAUGCACAAGCAUGUGUUCACACUGUUACUACCACAUCUUCUGUAAGAGCACAGAAGAAAUAAUAAAAUUAUCCUUGAUUAAGC